GACGAACGCUGGCGGCGUGCUUAACACAUGCAAGUCGAACGGAAAGGCCCUGCUUUUGUGGGGUGCUCGAGUGGCGAACGGGUGAGUAACACGUGAGUAACCUGCCCUUGACUUUGGGAUAACUUCAGGAAACUGGGGCUAAUACCGGAUAGGAGCUCCUGCUGCAUGGUGGGGGUUGGAAAGUUUCGGCGGUUGGGGAUGGACUCGCGGCUUAUCAGCUUGUUGGUGGGGUAGUGGCUUAACAAGGCUUUGACGGGUAGCCGGCCUGAGAGGGUGACCGGCCAGAUUGGGACUGAGAUACGGCCCAGACUCCUACGGGAGGCAGCAGUGGGGAAUAUUGCACUAUGGGCGGAAGCCUGAUGCAGCAACGCCGCGUGCGGGAUGACGGCCUUCGGGUUGUAAACCGCUUUCGCCUGUGACGAAGCGUGAGUGACGGUAAUGGGUAAAGAAGCACCGGCUAACUACGUG
This 468-nucleotide ribosomal RNA is filed under the name uncultured bacterium. RNAcentral's name for it is "partial 16S ribosomal RNA". It matches the Rfam family "Bacterial small subunit ribosomal RNA", at positions 28 to 507 of the family's 1533-position model. The record is from RNAcentral.